Long non-coding RNA from Dreissena polymorpha, 1497 nucleotides. RefSeq lists it as uncharacterized. Lineage: Eukaryota; Metazoa; Mollusca; Bivalvia; Myida; Dreissenidae. The record is from RefSeq and is a predicted model, not a curated record. The transcript is spliced from 3 exons.
CCGCCUCGCGAAAACAUUCAAAACAAAAACACUCGAAACGAAAAAUUUGUUAAAUUGUGAUAUUAUACACAAAAUAAAAUAUUCACCACCGCCUCGUUUGCCAACAUCGUCUUUACAAGGAAUGUCCAGCAGUGCAUGACAGAGGCCGGUCACUCCCAUUAAGUCCAGGCAGCUGAAGAGCCUUCCCAAAGACAGUUCAUAGGACAAAAUGCAGUUACACAGAUUUUAACGGUGUUGGAAACAAUCAGAGAUGAGAACAGGGAAAUGAAGCGGAUGCUGCAGCGGCUCUUGGCGAGGUCAGCUACUGAUGACGAGCAAAUGCAACUGCCAGAGAACAUCAGUCUUCCAAUUGGAACAUUUGAGUAAAUGGAUGAGUUUGAAGAGCAUCUUGGUGAUGAAGCUACAAUCCAUCUUUUCUAGGACUGCUGCAUAGUUCAAGCUUUUUUAUCAAAUAUAUUAAGCAAUGUUGUAAAUGUAAUUGACAGUUUUUUCUCCAUUGAUCCUAAACCAUUCCUUUAAGGCUCAUCUUCUAAGAAAGCAUACAAUCUUUUUUUAUCUGGAAAUGAAACGGUAUAUAUUCCUUUGCAAAAGAAGAAACAGCAUUCCAGUUUUUGAAGGUUUUAAAAGACAUAUAUAUAUAUAUCAUGUGCAGUUACGAAAAACACUAGAAUGUAUGAAGAUAUCAAAGAUAAUAAUGUGGACUUGUUCUCGAAAAAGGAUUUGCCAUUUAUUUGAGUUUUGGAUUUUUCUGCAGGGUUUUUAAUUUGUAGUUUAUAAAAUAUUUGGUUUAGUCUCGCAAGUAUGUUUUCUACGAAUGUUCUUUGAGUACAUGGUGUGUUAUUUGUAUUGCUUAAAGAUUUAAUAUGCAUGGGCAGAGCUCCAGAUAAGGUUUUGUGAAAUUCUUAAAUUACUACCAGAUUUUCAAAAAGAAUUCUUAACUCUGAAAUUUUAUUCUUAACGUUACUACUAAGUUUUGGAAAAUAAUUCUUAUUUUUUGUAAAUGACCUAAAAAUAAAUAAUAAUGGUUAUUUUCAUGCAAAAAAAAAUCAAAAUAAACAUACUAGCAACUUUAUUUAUACUAGUUCAACAGUGUCUUUUCAGUAUUAUACAAUUUUAUUUUUCAAAAACCUUCAUAUGCCCAAACUGCUCAGAUUGCAUGCCUUAGAUGAAUUUUUACAUAUUUCACAAUUAAAAUGGGUCUCCCCUUCAAUCUUUUCAACGAUUAGCCACGGGACUUGUCCCUUCCACUCGUUCAAUGUUUUUUGUGUGUUUAAGUUUGGACCCAUCGUGUCGCAUUUUUGUUUAGCUUUUCUGACUGUGUCGGCAACUGAACAUACAACAUCAUAUAAGAUCUUUUCUAUAAUGUCUUUCUAAACAUUUAACUUUGGCUCACUUUGUGUACAAUAUGUUAAACGCGUGUUUUUGGACGCUUUGCAGUUUUUUAGGACGCUCUCUGGGCGCUGCCAUUGUUUUUUGACAGAUAGACUGUAUACGCCG